CCUAGGUAUUACGUCAUCGCCAGGUGCAUGAUGGGCGUUGCUAGCAUGCUAAUCGUUAUGCUAAACGCCGAAGAGCUCGUGGAGGGCGGAUUCCUCGUUCUCUAAGGAACUUUUACCGUCAUUAAAUUGUUUGUGCUGGUUAUACUGGCAGAGAAAGGUGGUGACGUCGUGGAACGAGAGCUAACGUUAACGAACAGAGAGGCUGGAGCAGAUUUCGGAGGACAUGGCGGCGCACGAGACUCCUGCAGCCAGGUGGAGGAGGCAGCUGGUCCUGAGGGGGGUAAAGGCGGAGCUGCUGUUGUCUGGAGUAGGAGCCUGAGUCGUCGCGGUCUGAGUCCACCUGGAUGCUGACCUGGGGCACGGGUGGGCGUUGUGGCGGCAGCGGAGGUGGCAGGUGUGACGGAUCGUCCCCGGGGGCGAGGCUGGAGGUCUGGGAGUGGGCAGAGACACUGUUCACAUGGAUGGCAGGUUGGAGUGACGAAGAUGAUGACACAUUCUGCAGUGACGGUGUCGUUGUCCCAGCCAGUGUUUGCUGUCGUGCAGUUUCGGCGCACAGUACCUGCGGUCUAAGUCGUUCUGAUCGGAGUUGACUGUCGAGAUGUCGUCCAGCCAGGCCAAGUCGUGUUGUGAGAACAUCAGAUCCAGCAGCUUCCUCACGACCAUCAGACCCAGAAUCUACAGACACGGGACGGAGGAUAAAGGGACACAUAGUUUCUGAUCCGUUUUCUGUCAAUG
Epinephelus lanceolatus (giant grouper) is the source of this 735-nucleotide long non-coding RNA. RefSeq lists it as uncharacterized. Lineage: Eukaryota; Metazoa; Chordata; Actinopteri; Perciformes; Serranidae. The record is from RefSeq and is a predicted model, not a curated record.